GGUACACAUUGCUGUCCAGCCAGCUGCCAGUGGACCUUCCUUGUAAGUAACUCCUCAGUAAACCCACAUAUCUCGUUCGCUGACUCUGGGUCUUUUCUUUGGUCUCUUGGCAACCUAUCCCGCACUGCUCACCCAGCUGGGUGUGUGGUAGAACACUUGGCGAAGACAGAAAAACCCCCAUGAGUGCUGAGACUAUGGGCGAUGGAAGGGGAAUCUGCAGGGGUAAUCCUGGGUCCGCCCUGUGGGGGCUGGCUGCCACUAUCCUUGAAGGAGAGGGCCCACUGUACCUUCAGGAAGCCUCCGGAUCCCUCCUCACCCACCUAUGCCAACAAGGAUGGGUGGUAAACGACAACAAAAGCAGGUGGAGCCCAUAACCUGUUCCCUGCUGGUCACAAUCCGUACUCAUCCGCCCAUUGCCAGGUGGCUGCAGGACGCUCUCCAGAAGCCCCACUCGAGAGCAACCCAAACACAGACAUUGGCAAAAUGGCAUGCACACUUACAACGACGAGGGACCCUGACCAACAGUCCCCUCAGUGCCGAACUGCAUGCCAUCCUGGGGCCAGUAACAUACACCACAGAAAAAACAACCCUGUUAGAUGAGGCGCCCAUGCCUGAAACCCUGCCAAACGUACAGAAAGGAGAAGGACCAAUCCCAGUGGAGGCCUGGUAUAUGGAUGGCUCUGCAAGGGGCAACCCCCCUCCCGACUCCCCAGUGGACAGCACUAGCCAUCCAGCCUUCGACCGACAGCGUGUGGUUGGACUGUGGCUCUGGGUACAAUAGUCAAUGGGCUGAACUGCGAGCUGCCUGGAUGGUGCUGACUCGUGAACCCGAUCCAAUGCGUCUGUGCAUGGACAGGUGGGCGGUCUACAAAGGGCUCACCCUGUGGAUGGCACAGAGGGCACAACAAAAGUGGACAAUUAAUGGUCGCCCAUUGUGGGGGGCAGAACUCUGGGAUGAUAUCUGGCAGCAGGUCCAGGGAAUGACAGUAACAGUGUACCAUGUGUCUGCACAUCAGGCGAUGACGCCACCAGGGAACCAACAAGCAGAUGAGUUAGCUUGGAUUCGUCUCCUGGAAGAAGUGCCAGCCAAAAGAGUGGCAGAGCAGCUACACAAGAAGACUGGCACAAAGGACAAAGAAUCCUAGGGGCUAUUGCCAAGGCCUGGGGCCUCCCCCUGCACUAUGCUGGUGUGGUGCAGGUCUGUCGGGUGUGCCCUUCUUGCUCCUCGCAGAGACCCUGGGCCAUUCCCUGGGACACAGGCCAAAUAGCCAGAAACAACGCUGGCAAGUGGACUACAUUGGGCCCUUGCCUCUUUCUGAUGGCUGUCGGCAUGCUCUCACUUGUGUGGGGACAUCUACAGGACUGCUACAGACAUACCCCAGCAAAAGGGCCACAGCAUGAGGCCUGGGACGUCUCUGUGCUGCAUACGGUGUUCCCACAGACAUCAACAGUGACAAAGGUAUGCAUUUUACUGGCCAUCAGGUACAGACACGGGCUGGUCAAAUGGACAUACAUUGGCAUUCUCACCUGCCACACAAUCCCAUGGCCACAAGGCUGGUAGAACAAAUGAAUGGCUUCCUGAAACAAUUGAGGAUAGAAGACAGAACCCUAGCCCACUAGACAAGACACCUGGCAACUGCAAUACGUCAACUGAAUGAACAUGAGAGGCGCACCCAACCCAACGCAUAUGAGAUGUUGACACAAGGACCUGAUACAACAGUGCGUCUACAGACAAGGGAUCAUCAAAGAGACAAACUACAGCCACAGAUGAGCACUCAGAACAACUUGCUUUUUCCUCUGCCACAGAACUCCCUACUGGGACCCACAUGGUCACUUGCCCUGGGACUGGCAGGGAAUAAUGACAAGAAAAAGAAGUCUGUACGGGCACAUCACAGACCUUUCCACCUGCGGCCGGUUGAAUCCACAUCACACAGGGGAGCGACUGUCCGUGGUUUAGGGAGUAGGAGGCAAAGGGAAGAUUUACGCCGCGGGCUAUGGGCAUGGAAAAUCAAAAUGAAAGAAACAUUAAGGU
Molecule: long non-coding RNA, 2032 nt
Filed under: Equus caballus (horse)
Lineage: Eukaryota; Metazoa; Chordata; Mammalia; Perissodactyla; Equidae
Description: lncRNA (ENSECAG00000046824.1)
Source: RNAcentral